UACCCCUACCCUUGGGUAGAGAGGCUGUUUCCAAAUAGACCCCCGGCAUCCUUCCCUCUAAGAACUUCCCACCUUGCUCUUGGGGAGACUCGAAUCCACAACCUCUCGGUUGGAAGUGGGGGUUGCUUACCAUCAGAGCAACCCCUCUUGCCUUCAUAAUAAAAGGUGAAAAAUACACCAGCAAAAAGGUAUUACCUUCCCCUUUGAAUUGCUUCUGUUACAACACCAUGUGAACCUGGCUGUAACAUAAGGAAAUCAUUCUUUGAUUUCUGAAGAAGGCUUUAAUGCAAGAAUAGUAACAGAAAUGGCAUCAACUUGGAGGACAGGCAGAUAAUGAUAUCUGUGUUUUUCAACUGCAAGAAACGAUCUCUACGGCGAGCUAUGCUGUAAGACCGCCAUUUACGUGCACUACCUCAAGAUUGAAAAACCAACCAAGAGAGAGACCAGGCACGUAAUCUCGGAUGUUUUAGCAGUGGUGUAUCCACACUCCAAAGCAGCUCCACUCAAUUUGGUGACAAUGUCCGUAAUUCAAGAUACCACAGGUUAUUGCGAUUAAUCACCAUAUCCUGCACCUAGCCAGAUUAAUCAACAAGAAAUGAUAAACAACAACAAUUAUACUUGGCAAAAAACAAAAACUAAAACAAACAAAGACAACUACUAAGGAAAAUGAGAGUUUUUGCAUACUUAUAUCACCAAGACGAGAUGUUUCACAGCCUUAGAGCAAGGCAUCCAACUACAUCCAUAAAGAAAAGAAGAAAUAUUCUAUUCCAGAUACAACUAUUAAGAAAGAAAGUAGUUGAAAGUAUUCAUAGUUUAAGACGAAAAGUGAACUCACUGAUUAAUUGUGGUAUGUUUAAGUAACAAAUUAGAGAACAGAAGCAACUGGCCAGAGAAGUGUAAAAGUGUGUGCCAUGCCCACCUUCAGAGUUCUCUGAUUUGAUAUAGAACUAUGGUUUUAUAUGAAAAAAACAAAAUUCUGUUAAAGAUAAUACGUAUAGUGUCUUUCUUUGAGGGUAUGAGCUUCCUCCUACAUAGACUAGAAAAGAGAGUAUUAAUUCUUGCUAGACACGAGUUUGUCGUGAAGAUCAGUCCAUGACCAUUUGCCUAUGACUCUUUUCCAGAUGUUGAAGGUCAAGGAUGAAAGGAAUGUGAUGUUAUGCUAAAGAACAAUUUGAAGCUUGUAACAUAAUACUGGUAACUCGGAUUAACCACACAUUGAAAAGGAGUAUGCGAAAGUUAAUAAUCAACUGCAUUAGAAUAGGAUUCUAUGUACAAAUAAAAGCUCUCUCUUAACAACACUCAAGGAGUCUGAAUACUAGAAAACAAAGAAAUCCUUCUUUCAAGAUAUAUUCAAAGCAGCCCUUGACAUAAAUACCUCGUGGAAUACAUCAAAAGAAAUUACCUACAAAUGCUGCUUAAACUUCAUGAACAACGUAAUGUGUUGCACAAGUAGCUUAAAUUGCAUAAAAAACCUUCGAGGUUUUGCCCAAGUUCAAACUAAUUAAUAACUAUAGAUAUGAUGACUAAACUCGGAAAAAAUCAACAAAAGAAAAGGAUUUGCAGCACAAGCCAUGUAUUAUUUUCAGUUUGGGUCUCAACUACAAUAACACAAGCCAUGUCUCGUUAAUUCUCUAUGAUUUCUGAUUCUAGUCAAGCACAUUAUGUAGUAAGAGAGUAAUUAAGGCAAAGAUGAAAACGCCUUUAUGAAAUGCAACAGUAAAAAAAUGAACGGUAGUAAUAUUUGGAAUAGAAUGAGUCUGCACCAAGGGAUUUAUCUUGCGAGAAAUGAAACAUAUGCAGUAGAGAAAGCAACCUAAGCAUUCUAACUGAUUUCUGAUCAUAAGCCAGCAAAUGAAUGAGAAAAUAACUAAAGACUUGCAACAACAAAUAUCAUCAGUAUUUUGUUUAAUUAGUCUAUGUCCUCUACAAGACUGAUAUAGAUUCUUUCAAGUGUUCCCCUACUCUCCAAAACCUGCAACAUAUAAAGAGAAAAAACCAUCAGCGGUCGAAAAGAUCAAGAAAAGCAUACGAGCUUCAGACAGGGAAGUGGUAGUUGACAACUACGGCAUGCAAGAAACACAAGCCAAAGUACUUGCUAACUUUUAUCUCUAAACAUGGUUAACAGAAAGUGUUGAUAUGCAUAAGACCGGGCAUAUAAUGCAAGAGUCAUCUACCUCAGCUGUGGCGAAAAAAGCAGAACGCUUGUUCAAGCUGGCACAUAUUCUGCUUGAGUGAUGAGAAAUACCUUGCAACAGGAAGAGGAGCAAAGUUCUUAUGGAAAUAGUCAAAUGUCUGGAUUUGAGUCCCCCUUCCUUUUCACCAAAGGAGUCCUGUUAGAUAUGUAAAUAGUAGAACCCUAAUCCAAAGUGUAUUAGGAGUAUGUUAGGUUAUGUGUAUUAUAUAUAGGGCUCAUUGUAUCAUGUUUAAUAUCAAUUAUAUAUUUUUCUCCCGU
This 2452-nucleotide long non-coding RNA is filed under the name Nicotiana benthamiana. RNAcentral describes it as "long non-coding RNA (NBEN_LNC023326)". Lineage: Eukaryota; Viridiplantae; Streptophyta; Magnoliopsida; Solanales; Solanaceae. The record is from RNAcentral.